CACCUGGGGGUCACCCCUUCCCCUGGGACCCCCUCCCCAAAAAUACCCUCGGGUGCUGGAAAGUCCCCAGAUCCUAACUUCCCCUUCACCGGUGGGGGGGUGCUUGUGUAUGGGGGGGGGGGACGGACACAGGGCUGGGGACAUCUGGGUCCCACUGACACCCCCUUUCCCCUCCUGCGCAGGGUGCCACGGCCGCCCACCUGUUGCUGAGCACCGGCUCGCUGGCAGUGUCCUCCAGACCCGUGUGGCGCUAUGAGGAAGGCAUCAGCGGAGUCUUCCUCAGCAGUGAUGUGCAGGCGACGGCCGCGGGGCUGCGGGUGGCGGCGGGGGGGCUCUACCUCCUCUACGGCCAGUUUGCCCUUGCCUGCAUAGCCGAAAAUUGUCCCCCCGGCAAUGUCACCCUCCAGCUCCGCCGCGCUGGCUCAGCGCCCCCACUGCUGUCCGUGCCGUUGGCGUUGCCCAGCGGCACCGAACCCGGCCCGGCCCGCUCAGGUUUGGCUCAGGCCGUGGGACAGCUGCAGCCUGGUGACGUCCUCGACGUGGCGCUGGUCGGGGACAUCAACGGGGACGAGUGGCAGAUGGCUCAGGACCAGCGGGAGGGCAAUUUCGUGGGGCUGCUGCGCAUCGCCGGGGGGUGACGGUGGGGACACGGCCCCUGCUGGCACGGAGGGGGGGGCCAGAGAGGUUUGGGGACGGUCACCCUCCCCCUUGGAGGUUUGGGAACAUCGAGGGACGUUGCUGGCCUCUGUAUCUGAAGAUCUCGGGACAUCGCUGACCUCCAUGCCCUGAGAUUUGGGUCCCAACCCCCCAUGCCCAGAGACCUGGGGACAUCAAGAGACAUGGCUGACCUCCAUGCCUGGAGAUCUGGGGCUGGUGACACCCCUGCUUGGAGGCUGGGGACAUGGGAGACCUCCACCCUUGAAGAUUUGGGACAUUAAGGGACAUUGCAGACCACCCCCCCCCCCCCCACCAUUGAAUAUUUGGUGCUGGAGACCCCCAGCUUGGAGAUUUGGGGACAUCAAGUGACUUUGCAGACCUUCAUGCCUGGACAUGGGGGACACCAAGGGAUCUUGCAGGCCCCCCUGCCUGCAGAUUUGGGGUGCUAAAGCCCCCUCCUUGGGGGCAUCAAGGAACCUCGCAGGCCCGCCCCUCAUGCUGGACAUUUGGGGACAUUGAGGGACCUCACAGACUCCCAUUUUGGGGACAGCAGGGACUGUGGAUCCCCCCCAUGCCUCCCUGCUGCCCUCCCUUCCUCCCCCCAGCCGGCCUGGGGGGGGCCCUCCCCCCUUAAGUUAUUGUCUGGUACUCAAAACCACUUUAUUUAUUGGUUAAGUAAAUUUAUUUAUGGUU
Oxyura jamaicensis (ruddy duck) is the source of this 1350-nucleotide long non-coding RNA. RefSeq lists it as uncharacterized. The transcript has 2 exons. Lineage: Eukaryota; Metazoa; Chordata; Aves; Anseriformes; Anatidae. The record is from RefSeq and is a predicted model, not a curated record.